RNAcentral lists this transfer RNA (68 nucleotides) under Marmota monax (woodchuck). RNAcentral describes it as "tRNA.Ala". Lineage: Eukaryota; Metazoa; Chordata; Mammalia; Rodentia; Sciuridae. The record is from RNAcentral.
GGACUGUGGCUCAGUGGUAAAGCACUCGCCUAGCAUGUGUGGGGCACUGGGUUCGAUCCUCAGCACCA